GAUGAAGAACGUAGCGAAAUGCGAUAAGUAAUGUGAAUUGCAGAAUUCAGUGAAUCAUCGAAUCUUUGAACGCACAUUGCGCCCGCCAGUAUUCUGGCGGGCAUGCCUGUUCGAGCGUCAUUUCAACCCUCAAGCCCAGCUUGGUGUUGGGGAUCGGCACAGGCGCCCUCGGGCGCCCGCCGUCCCCUAAAUCUAGUGGCGGUCCCGCUGCAGCCUCCUCUGCGUAGUAGUUUUCUCCUCGCAAGGGCAGCUCGGUGGCGACCUCGCCGUAAAACCCCCGACUUCUGAAAGGUUGACCUCGAAUCAGGUAGGAAUACCCGCUGAACUUAAGCAUAUCAAUAAGCGGAGGA
Molecule: unclassified non-coding RNA, 350 nt
Filed under: soil metagenome
Description: partial contains 5.8S ribosomal RNA, internal transcribed spacer 2, and large subunit ribosomal RNA
Rfam family: 5.8S ribosomal RNA (bases 1-120)
Source: RNAcentral